CGGAAGGGCACCACCAGGAUUGGAGCCUGCGGCUUAAUUUGACUCAACACGGGGAAACUCACCAGGUCCAGACAUGACUAGGAUCGACAGAUUGAUAGCUCUUUCAUGAUCUCAUGGGUGGUGGUGCAUGGCCGUUCUUAGUUGGUGGAGUGAUUUGUCUGGUUAAUUCCGAUAACGAACGAGACCUUAACCUGCUAAAUAGCCAGGCCGGCUUUGGCUGGUCGCGGGCUUCUUAGAGGGACUGUCGGCGUCUAGCCGACGGAAGUUUGAGGCAAUAACAGGUCUGUGAUGCCCUUAGAUGUUCUGGGCCGCACGCGCGCUACACUGACAGAGCCAGCGAGUUCAUAUCCUUGGCCGGAAGGUCCGGGUAAUCUUGUGAAACUCUGUCGUGCUGGGGAUAGAGCAUUGC
Molecule: ribosomal RNA, 409 nt
Filed under: uncultured eukaryote
Lineage: Eukaryota
Description: SSU rRNA
Rfam family: Eukaryotic small subunit ribosomal RNA
Source: RNAcentral